This 460-nucleotide ribosomal RNA is filed under the name uncultured bacterium. RNAcentral describes it as "partial 16S ribosomal RNA". It matches the Rfam family "Bacterial small subunit ribosomal RNA", at positions 338 to 795 of the family's 1533-position model. The record is from RNAcentral.
CCUACGGGGGGCAGCAGUGAGGAAUAUUGGUCAAUGGGCGCGAGCCUGAACCAGCCAAGUCGCGUGAGGGAGGACGGCCCUACGGGUUGUAAACCUCUUUUGCCGGGGAGCAACGGGCGUCACGUGUGGCGCCCCUGAAAGUACCCGGAGAAAAAGCAUCGGCUAACUCCGCGCCAGCAGCCGCGGUAAUACGGAGGAUGCGAGCGUUAUCCGGAUUUAUUGGGUUUAAGGGGUGCGUAGGCGGAUCGUUAAGUCAGUGGUCAAAUUGAGGGGCUCAACCCCUUCCCGCCAUUGAAACUGGCGCUCUUGAGUGCUGGAGAGGCAAUCGGAAUUCCGGGUGUAGCGGUGAAAUGCGUAGAUAUACGGAGGAACACCAGUGGCGAAGGCGGAUUGCUGGACAGUAACUGACGCUGAGGCGCGAAAGCGUGGGGAGCAAACAGGAUUAGAUACCCCGGUAGUC